Molecule: long non-coding RNA, 188 nt
Organism: Bradysia coprophila
Lineage: Eukaryota; Metazoa; Arthropoda; Insecta; Diptera; Sciaridae
Source: RefSeq, a predicted model, not a curated record
UCAGAGAUGAGCCGGUUAUCCGAAAAGCCGGAAUAUUCCGUUCGGUUUAAACCAAACCGAAUAUUCCGGUUCGGUUCAAACCGAACCGAAAACUCCGGUUUUCCCGUAAAACAAUAUGAAAUUAACCCAGGCUCGUCAAAAUUGAUUGAUUUGAAUAUAAACUCACUGAAAAUAAGUAAACGGAGCAA